Molecule: ribosomal RNA, 402 nt
Filed under: uncultured prokaryote
Description: bacterial SSU rRNA
Rfam family: Bacterial small subunit ribosomal RNA
Source: RNAcentral
UGGGGAAUAUUGGACAAUGGGGGAAACCCUGAUCCAGCCAUGCCGCGUGAGUGAUGAAGGCCUUCGGGUUGUAAAGCUCUUUUGGUGGGGACGAUGAUGACGGUACCCACAGAAUAAGCUCCGGCUAACUUCGUGCCAGCAGCCGCGGUAAUACGAAGGGAGCUAGCGUUGUUCGGAGUUACUGGGCGUAAAGGGCGCGUAGGCGGUUUGACAAGUCAGAUGUGAAAGCCCUGGGCUUAACCCAGGAAUUGCGUUUGAGACUGUCUUACUUGAAUUCGGUAGAGGUUAGUGGAAUUCCCAGUGUAGAGGUGAAAGUCGUAGAGAUUGGGAAGAACAUCCGUGGCGAAGGCGGCUAACUGGACCGACAUUGACGCUGAGGCGCGAAAGCGUGGGGAGCAAACA